This 73-nucleotide transfer RNA is filed under the name Stegodyphus mimosarum. It matches the Rfam family "tRNA". From Rfam's summary of the family: Transfer RNA (tRNA) molecules are approximately 80 nucleotides in length. Their secondary structure includes four short double-helical elements and three loops (D, anti-codon, and T loops). Lineage: Eukaryota; Metazoa; Arthropoda; Arachnida; Araneae; Eresidae. The record is from Rfam by way of RNAcentral.
GCAUUCGUGAUGCAGUGGUCAGCACGCUGGACGCGUAUUCUAGAUGUCCCUGGUUCAAGUCCCGGUGAGGGCA